AAUGGGAUUCCUUAAGUAAUUGCGAAUGAACAAGGACAUGCUUAGCUUGACAAUUGGAGCCUCUGGCUUCGACUUGUAUUUUUGAAAUGUAUUACCAACAGAGGUGCAGGUGUCAGCCUAUUGAAAGAAAGCGUCAAUGAGGGUGAGAAUCCUGUUUGUCAUGUGCAAUCCUCUGUGCACGGUGUAUGUUUGCUGAGUCACACUCCUUGGCAUUGGAAUGCAAAGUGGGUGGUAAGUUUCAUGUAAAGGUAAAUAUAGGAUUGAGACUGAUAGCACACAAGUACCAUGAGGGAAAUAUGAAAAGGACUUUGAAAAGAGAAUUAAAUGAGUUUGUAUUUGCUGAACAGAAAAUAAACAGAUUUGAUGUUGCUUGGUGAGAUUGUGGUGCUUGCUUGACAAUAGGUUUUGAUUGUGGGUGUGAUGAUUCUUGCUUUGCUUGCCAGUUUCUAUUUGUACAUUUGAUUACCCUUGCACAUGAAUGGUAAUUUUCCUGCGGGGUUUGGAUUGCAUGUGUUUGUGAUGAUUUGUGUUUUGAUACAUGUGUCUGGUGCUUUUGUAAUUGCUCAUUUCUUGAAGCUGGGCCUACCCUACUAGAGCUUACAAGCCCUGGCACACAAUUGCUGGCAAAAUGCUUCUGCUUGACCCGUCUUGAAAU
Molecule: ribosomal RNA, 655 nt
Filed under: Alexandrium tamarense
Lineage: Eukaryota; Dinophyceae; Gonyaulacales; Pyrocystaceae
Description: LSU rRNA
Rfam family: Eukaryotic large subunit ribosomal RNA
Source: RNAcentral